AAAAGCAAACAGAGGUAUCAAAA
This 23-nucleotide small nuclear RNA is filed under the name Arabidopsis thaliana (thale cress). RNAcentral describes it as "snRNA_13360". The record is from RNAcentral. Lineage: Eukaryota; Viridiplantae; Streptophyta; Magnoliopsida; Brassicales; Brassicaceae.